GACGAACGCUGGCGGCGUGCCUAAUACAUGCAAGUCGAACGCUUUUUCUUUCACCGGAGCUUGCUCCACCGAAAGAAAAAGAGUGGCGAACGGGUGAGUAACACGUGGGUAACCUGCCCAUCAGAAGGGGAUAACACUUGGAAACAGGUGCUAAUACCGUAUAACACUAUUUUCCGCAUGGAAGAAAGUUGAAAGGCGCUUUUGCGUCACUGAUGGAUGGACCCGCGGUGCAUUAGCUAGUUGGUGAGGUAACGGCUCACCAAGGCAACGAUGCAUAGCCGACCGGAGAGGGUGAUCGGCCACACUGGGACUGCGACACGGCCCAGACUCCUACGGGAGGUAGCAGUAGGGAAUCUUCGGCAAUGGACGAAAGUCUGACCGAGCAACGCCGCGUGAGUGAAGAAGGUUUUCGGAUCGUAAAACUCUGUUGUUAGAGAAGAACAAGGAUGAGAGUAAAAUGUUCAUCCCUUGACGGUAACUAACCAGAAAGCCACGGCUAACUACGUGCCAGCAGCCGCAGUAA
Molecule: ribosomal RNA, 523 nt
Filed under: uncultured bacterium
Lineage: Bacteria
Description: partial 16S ribosomal RNA
Rfam family: Bacterial small subunit ribosomal RNA
Source: RNAcentral